This 396-nucleotide ribosomal RNA is filed under the name Cryptosporidium serpentis. RNAcentral's name for it is "SSU rRNA". It matches the Rfam family "Eukaryotic small subunit ribosomal RNA", at positions 632 to 1057 of the family's 1831-position model. Lineage: Eukaryota; Apicomplexa; Conoidasida; Eucoccidiorida; Cryptosporidiidae. The record is from RNAcentral.
AGUUUAAGCUUUUCUGUUGUAUUUUUAUAAUAUUAUUAAGGUAAUAUUUAUAAUAUCAACAUCCUUCCUAUUAUAUUUUUAAUAUAUAGGAGAUUUUACUUUGAGAAAAUUAGAGUGCUUAAAGCAGGCAACUGCCUUGAAUACUCCAGCAUGGAAUAAUAAGUAAGGACUUUUGUCUUUCUUGUUGGUUCUAGGAUAAAAGUAAUGGUUAAUAGGGACAGUUGGGGGCAUUCGUAUUCAACAGUCAGAGGUGAAAUUGUUGGAUUUGUUCAAGACGAACUACUGCGAAAGCAUUUGCCAAGGAUGUUUUCAUUAAUCAAGAACGAAAGUUAGGGGAUCGAAGACGAUCAGAUACCGUCGUAGUCUAACCAUAAACUAUGCCAGUAGAGAUGAGGG